UACGGAGGGUGCGAGCGUUGUCCGGAAUCACUGGGCGUAAAGGGCGCGUAGGCGGCAUGACAAGUCACUUGUGAAAUCUCCGGGCUUAACUCGGAACGGCCAAGUGAUACUGUCAAGCUAGAGUGCAGAAAGGGCAAUCGGAAUUCUUGGUGUAGCGGUGAAAUGCGCAGAUAUCAGGAGGAACACCGGUGGCGAAGGCGGCUUGCUGGGCCAGUUCUGACGCUGAGGAGCGAAAGCGUGGGGAGCGAACAGG
Molecule: ribosomal RNA, 253 nt
Filed under: uncultured bacterium
Lineage: Bacteria
Description: partial 16S ribosomal RNA
Rfam family: Bacterial small subunit ribosomal RNA
Source: RNAcentral